This 1235-nucleotide long non-coding RNA is filed under the name Oreochromis niloticus (Nile tilapia). Its description in RNAcentral is "lncRNA (ENSONIG00000028865.1)". The record is from RNAcentral. Lineage: Eukaryota; Metazoa; Chordata; Actinopteri; Cichliformes; Cichlidae.
CACCAACAUUUCUUACACAUUAGCACUAAGGGAACACUGAAUGACCUGCUGGUUUUUGUCCGUAAAACUACUCAUCUAAGUCUGUGAAGGUUCUCAGUCAUCCAGGUCAUCGUAGUCAAAGGAGUUUGCAAAGAAAAGCGUCUGGACUUCUUUAAGUUGCUUGAAGACGUUUCACCUCUCAUCCGAGAAGCUUCUUCAGUUCUAAGGUCAAAUGGCCGAGAGUCCCAGAUUUAAACCCAGUGGGAGUUUCCCCCCAAAGAGGGACAAAGGACCCCCUGGUGAUGCUCUAAUCACAUGAGCCAAGGUGUGAAAACGGGUGUGGGACCUGGCUGAUAGGGCUUUGGAGUUGACGUCACUGGGGGUGGGCCACGCCCCCUUUCCGCCAUGACAGUAGGCUAGACACAGGAUACAGCUUCAGCUAUGGUUCGUACGUGUUGUGUUAUCAGUUGCAACGUUUGAUCACACGAUCGUGAAGGCAAGAAGCUGGAUAAUGGGCUCUCUUUUCAUCGUUUUUCAACCUGGAGGCAACGUGAGGGAUCCCAUGUAUCCGAUAUUACUAAACAAAGACGUCAGGCUUGCAUUGCAGCGGUGAGACGAGCGGAUCGAGUUCUGUGCAAUCCCCAGCUUUUUGUUGGUUUGGUCUCUGCAUCUUCUUUCCGCGCAUACACAGCAAACCAGUUUAAGAAUUAUAAAUCCCUGGAGGCUGUUGAGAAAUCAGUUUCGCCCCGGUUCUUUGAUUCGUCGAGGGAUCCAGAAACGGUGUUGUGCCAAAGUAGUUACCCCCGUCAAAAAUUGUUUCCCCAUCCACGAGAGCGCGCAAAGUAGGAGGAGCCACUUGCCCAGCUCCGUUCUGUACGCUACUUGUCACUGAUCUGCAGUCGACGCAAUAAAGAGUAAAAGCUGGAAAACGGCAGGCUCGAUUAAUUUAAUAUUAGUUUCGUGACAUUGUAAUGUGCCGUGUGGAAGACAAUUUACAUUAAACUGUACACUGAAAUAACCUGCUGGGAAUACUUUGUCUAGAAAAAUACUUUGAUACUAUAAUACUGUAAAACCAGACGCGAUCAUGGAAACACGUCGCUCUCCGGUGAAUUUACACUCGGUUUACAUUUUGUAGCGAAGCUAUCACGAAGGAGUUUAUUUGCGAAAUCAAUCACAGUAUAACCAAUAACUACAGUAACGUUGGAGAGGGUUUCUUCACAGCAAAAGUUAUGGAGGGAUACAGAUUUUAUCAGGCU